This 57-nucleotide transfer RNA is filed under the name Stenopsylla euryae. RNAcentral describes it as "tRNA-Leu". Lineage: Eukaryota; Metazoa; Arthropoda; Insecta; Hemiptera; Triozidae. The record is from RNAcentral.
AUAUGGCAGAAAAAUGUAAUAAAUUUAAAAUUUAAAUAUGAAAUUAUUCUUUUAGUA